This 460-nucleotide ribosomal RNA is filed under the name uncultured bacterium. Its description in RNAcentral is "partial 16S ribosomal RNA". It matches the Rfam family "Bacterial small subunit ribosomal RNA", at positions 338 to 795 of the family's 1533-position model. The record is from RNAcentral.
CCUACGGGUGGCAGCAGUGAGGAAUAUUGGUCAAUGGACGAGAGUCUGAACCAGCCAAGUAGCGUGAAGGAUGACUGCCCUAUGGGUUGUAAACUUCUUUUAUAAAGGAAUAAAACGAGGCACGUGUGCCUUUUUGCAUGUACUUUAUGAAUAAGGAUCGGCUAACUCCGUGCCAGCAGCCGCGGUAAUACGGAGGAUCCGAGCGUUAUCCGGAUUUAUUGGGUUUAAAGGGAGCGUAGAUGGGUUGUUAAGUCAGUUGUGAAAGUUUGCGGCUCAACCGUAAAAUUGCAAUUGAUACUGGCAGUCGUGAGUACAGUUGAGGUAAGCGGAAGUCGUGGUGUAGCGGUGAAAUGCUUAGAUAUCACGAAGAACCCCGAUUGCGAAGGCAGCUUACUAAACUGUGACUGACAUUGAUGCUCGAAAGUGUGGGUAUCAAACAGGAUUAGAUACCCUGGUAGUC